CUACGGGUUGCAGCAGUGAGGAAUAUUGGUCAAUGGGAGCGAGCCUGAACCAGCCAUCCCGCGUGCAGGAUGACGGCCCUAUGGGUUGUAAACUGCUUUUCUAUGCCAAGAAACCUGAUUACGUGUAAUCAGUUGCCGGUAGCAUAGGAAUAAGCAUCGGCUAACUCCGUGCCAGCAGCCGCGGUAAUACGGAGGAUGCAAGCGUUAUCCGGACUCAUUGGGUUUAAAGGGUGCGCAGGUGGGCUUGUAAGUCAGUGGUGAAAUGCUGCCGCUUAACGGUAGAACUGCCAUUGAUACUGGGAGUCUUGAGUAUGGUUGAGGUAGGCGGAAUGUGUUGUGUAGCGGUGAAAUGCAUAGAUAUGACACAGAACGCCAAUUGCGAAGGCAGCUUACUAAGCCAUUACUGACGCUGAGGCACGAAAGCGUGGGGAGCGAACAGGAUUAGAUACCCCGGUAGUC
RNAcentral lists this ribosomal RNA (459 nucleotides) under uncultured bacterium. RNAcentral describes it as "partial 16S ribosomal RNA". It matches the Rfam family "Bacterial small subunit ribosomal RNA", at positions 339 to 795 of the family's 1533-position model. The record is from RNAcentral.